UACGUAGGGGGCGAGCGUUGUCCGGAUUUAUUGGGCGUAAAGAGCGUGUAGGCGGCCAGGUAGGUCUGCUGUGAAAACUCGAGGCUCAACCUCGAGACGUCGGCGGAAACCAUCUGGCUAGAGUCCGGAAGAGGAGAGUGGAAUUCAUGGUGUAGCAGUGAAAUGCGUAGAGAUCAUGAGGAAGACCAGUGGCGAAGGCGGGUCUCUGGACAGUUCCUGACACUGAGGCACGAAGGCCAGGGGAGCAAACGGG
This 253-nucleotide ribosomal RNA is filed under the name uncultured bacterium. Its description in RNAcentral is "partial 16S ribosomal RNA". It matches the Rfam family "Bacterial small subunit ribosomal RNA", at positions 524 to 776 of the family's 1533-position model. The record is from RNAcentral.